This is a long non-coding RNA of Gasterosteus aculeatus aculeatus (three-spined stickleback), 2040 nucleotides long. NCBI's taxonomy places the organism in Eukaryota, Metazoa, Chordata, Actinopteri, Perciformes, Gasterosteidae. The record is from Ensembl.
GUAACAUUUGAACAGGCGUCCAAAUGUAAUGUCUAAAGCUGCCACUGAUGUGUGUACCUUGCACGGGAGUGGUUUUCGGUCGAUAAUAAGGUAGAACCUUUGGAUAUUCUUCUUUUGCUCACCGAUGCAAAGGAGGAACGGUUGUUUGCGUCGACACUCUCAAGGAAGUCUUGCAGUCUGUGAUGUUUGGCUUGAAGAAAGUUGACCACUUGGACAGGAACUUCUGAGACACUUCGUCACCAAACAUCAUUGAGAAAUCCUGGUCGAUCUAUAAACAAGGAAAACAAUAUUUUAAUAUACAGGUUCAAGCAUACAUCACAAAAUGAAUGAAAGGUCAAAUACUGAAAUGGAAGAUUGAAAAGAAGAUUAAAGAGAUUAUAGUAUAGUGCCGAAAAAUAUUAUAUUGUCCUGCACUGGACUAUAUUACUGUUCUACACUGGACAACUACAACCAAAGCAAAAGAGUUUUCUUACCAAUCCAGGUACAUCAAGAAAACGAGGGAACACAUCCAGGAAUGAAGAUGAUGCAUCAUCCCCAACCAUCUUCUGUCGAUUCUCAACUUCUCUUUGACCACAGAUUCAUCGCUGGAAUGUCUUAUUGUAGAUAUCGCCUCCCUGCACUCCUCACCAAAUAGCUGUUGGCAGGUUGAUAGAGAUUCUCGCCUGGUUUUUGGACCAUCCUGAAGAACGGUCUUGGAACGACCCCGCAAGCCAGCAAAGAACACCCUCAACCAUCUGCCAAGAAAUAUUACAUUGUUAUGGCAUGCUUACGAAUAACGGUGGAAUCAGAUGAAUGGGAUAAAGCUGGGGAUAGUGCAGUCUGUGCCACUACCAAGGAUGAAUGGGAUGAAGUUGGGGACAGCGAUGUCAAUACAGAGGAGGAUGCUUGAUCUGCAACCAGCUCAACAUCCAGAUCUACAAAAUGGCAGACAGAACAAAGACAAUUUAAAUGUACCUAUCAGUAACAAAACAAUCUCAAUCUUAAAUAAAGCAUUUAAAAAGUACUAAGCAUAUUAUAUUCUUCCUUAAUUACUACCCAGUGAUAGAUCAUAUGUAUUUAAGACAAUGAUUGUCAAGUGUUACGCCACACAUCGUAUUUCUCACGCUGAAAAAAAAGUCCGCGCUGGCUCCCCUCCAACCUUCCAGACGGUGUCUGUAACCGUAACCGCUGCACGUAGUGUCCACGCCCGGUCAGCCGUAGCGUUCAGCCCCCCAUUCUUCAAAACUUGAGCCCUGCGGCGUUGAGUAACUAUAAGCACAGUAAAACGUAUUUGAGAAAGGAGUCCUUCCGAUUAACUUUCCGAUAGUAACUUCAUAUUAACUACCGACACUUCUGAUAAUCAAAAUGUAAUUUAGAUAUACAUAUACCCAGUCCUCGUAUGAGAAUAUUUGCUUUCAUGCAGCUAAGACGUGGGAACCGGUUCUGGCUCUUAGCUAGCCAGCUAACUAGCAUUUAUUUAUUUGAAAGAAUGUUGGCAUUACUAAAGUACCGUCACGUAACUUAACGUUACAUUAACAAACUUGAAACACUCAACAGGAAUUCUAUUUUGCUCACAGUCAGACUCAAUAGACCAGUAAACAGAAAACGUGUGAAAGUAGAAGAAACAAACUCUUGCUAACGUUAGCUUGGCAAACUUAGCUUGCCAACGUUAGCUUGCCAGUUACCGUACAGUAGUUUGUCCGCUCUGGGCGUAGGUUACGGUUGCUAGCUAGCUGACAUUAGCCUGGCUGCAGUAAAGGCGGCAGCAUAACAGUUAACCUACAUUAGAGCGGCUAUAAAUAUAUUACUAAUGUCUAAAUAUAUGUCCAUCUGUAUAUAAUAAUAGCACUCAUUAGGUUAUCUAAUUAACUGUUACUUACCGACACAAUGCAACACGUUUUCUUCAAUUUUGAACAAACUGUCCUCGAAAACGUUGUGCUGCUCGUUGCUCCAGUUGAGUUGUGCAGGUAAAUUACUUGAAUCCCGCCAGAUUGUUGCUCUCACGAGAUUAUUGUUCGCGCGAUGCCAGAGAGUAGUCACUCCUUACACCCGAGCUGAGAG